GACAGAGGUCUCAAGCGUUGUUCGGAUUCACUGGGCGUAAAGGGUGCGUAGGUGGCGGGGCAAGUCUGAUGUGAAAUCUCCGAGCUUAACUCGGAAACUGCAUCGGAUACUGCUUUGCUCGAGGGUUGGAGGGGGGACUGGAAUACUUGGUGUAGCAGUGAAAUGCGUAGAUAUCAAGUGGAACACCAGUGGCGAAGGCGAGUCCCUGGACAACUCCUGACACUGAGGCACGAAAGCUAGGGGAGCAAACAGG
RNAcentral lists this ribosomal RNA (253 nucleotides) under uncultured bacterium. RNAcentral describes it as "partial 16S ribosomal RNA". It matches the Rfam family "Bacterial small subunit ribosomal RNA", at positions 524 to 776 of the family's 1533-position model. The record is from RNAcentral.